Kalaharituber pfeilii is the source of this 87-nucleotide non-coding RNA. Lineage: Eukaryota; Fungi; Ascomycota; Pezizomycetes; Pezizales; Pezizaceae. The record is from the annotation of a GenBank genome assembly.
GUCUCUGUAGCUCAGUGGUAAGCAGCGAGCGAUUGCAGUCAAUUGGCAGUUAUCGCUAGGUCGGUCGUUCGAAUCGGCCCAGGGACU